RNAcentral lists this ribosomal RNA (253 nucleotides) under uncultured bacterium. Its description in RNAcentral is "partial 16S ribosomal RNA". It matches the Rfam family "Bacterial small subunit ribosomal RNA", at positions 524 to 776 of the family's 1533-position model. The record is from RNAcentral.
UACGUAGGGGGCAAGCGUUAUCCGGAUUUACUGGGUGUAAAGGGAGCGUAGACGGCAAUACAAGUCGGAAGUGAAAUACCCGGGCUCAACCUGGGAACUGCUUUGGAAACUGUAUGGCUGGAGUGCUGGAGGGGUAAGCGGAAUUCCUAGUGUAGCGGUGAAAUGCGUAGAUAUUAGGAGGAACACCAGUGGCGAAGGCGGCUUACUGGACAGUAACUGACGUUGAGGCUCGAAAGCGUGGGGAGCAAACAGG